Molecule: ribosomal RNA, 301 nt
Filed under: uncultured bacterium
Lineage: Bacteria
Description: partial 16S ribosomal RNA
Rfam family: Bacterial small subunit ribosomal RNA
Source: RNAcentral
CAGCCGCCGCGGGAAUACAGAGGGUGCGAGCGUUAAUCGGAUUUACUGGGCGUAAAGCGUGCGUAGGCGGCUUCUUAAGUCGGAUGUGAAAUCCCUGAGCUUAACUUAGGAAUUGCAUUCGAUACUGGGAAGCUAGAGUAUGGGAGAGGAUGGUAGAAUUCCAGGUGUAGCGGUGAAAUGCGUAGAGAUCUGGAGGAAUACCGAUGGCGAAGGCAGCCAUCUGGCCUAAUACUGACGCUGAGGUACAAAAGCAUGGGGAGCAAACAGGAUUAGAUACCCCAGUAGUCCCUGUCUCUUAUAC